This 541-nucleotide ribosomal RNA is filed under the name uncultured bacterium. Its description in RNAcentral is "bacterial SSU rRNA". It matches the Rfam family "Bacterial small subunit ribosomal RNA", at positions 777 to 1304 of the family's 1533-position model. The record is from RNAcentral.
AAUAGAUACCCCCGGUAGUCCAUGCCGUAAACGUUGGGGCACUGGGUGUGGGGGCUCAUUUCCACGAGUUCCGUGCCGCAGCAAACGCAUUAAAGUGCCCCGGCCUGGGGAGUACGGCCGCAAGGCUAAAACUCAAAGGAAUUGACGGGGGCCCGCACAAGCGGCGGAGCAUGCGGAUUAAUUCGAUGCAACGCGAAGAACCUUACCAAGGCUUGACAUGCACGGGAAGCCACCAGAGAUGGUGGUCUCUUUGGGACACUCGUGCACAGGUGGUGCAUGGUUGUCGUCAGCUCGUGUCGUGAGAUGUUGGGUUAAAGUCCCGCAACGAGCGCAACCCUCGUCCCAUGUUGCCAGCGGGUUAUGCCGGGGACUCAUGGGAGACUGCCGGGGGUCAACUCGGAGGAAGGUGGGGGAUGACGUCAAAUCAUGAUGCCCCCUUAUGUCUUGGGCUUCACGCAUGCUACAAUGGCCGGGUACAAAGGGCUGCGAUACCGUAAGGUGGAGCGAAUCCCAAAAAGCCGGUCUCAGUUCGGAUUGGGGU